The sequence is a small nuclear RNA, 57 nucleotides long. Its record names the gene U7. It matches the Rfam family "U7 small nuclear RNA". Rfam says of the family: Animal histone pre-mRNAs are spliced by a different mechanism than nuclear pre-mRNAs and self-splicing introns. This processing involves the U7 snRNP, which contains only one RNA species: U7. The record is from Ensembl.
UAGAAAACGCGCUCUUUUAGUAUUUCUCUAGUAGGUUUCCUGAAGGAGAAAGCCUCC